CAGUUAAAAGCUCGUAGUUGGAUUUUGGUUAAGAGGGCGCGGUCGGCCGUUUGGUCUGUACUGCGUUGUCUUGACUUCCUGAUGAGGACAUGCUCUUGGUUAACGCUGAGACAUGGAGUCAUCGUGGUUACUUUGAAAAAAUUAGAGUGUUCAAAGCGGGCUUACGCUUGAAUAUAUUAGCAUGGAAUAACACUAUAGGACUCCUGUCCUAUCUCGUUGGUCUCGGGAUGGGAGUAAUGAUUAAGAGGAACAGUUGGGGGCAUUCGUAUUUCAUUGUCAGAGGUGAAAUUCUUGGAUUUAUGAAAGACGAACUUCUGCGAAAGCAUUUGCCAAGGAUGUUUUCAUUAAUCAAGAACGAAAGUUGGGGGCUCGAAGAUGAUUAGAUACCAUCCUAGUCUCAACCAUAAACGAUGCCGACUAGGGAUUGGGUGGAUGUUAAUUGAUGACUUCACCAGCACCUUAUGAGAAAUCAAAGUUUUUGGGUUCCGGGGGGAGUAUGGUCGCAAGGCUGAAACUUAAAGGAAUUGACGGAAGGGCACCACCAGGCGUGGAGCCUGCGGCUUAAUUUGACUCAACACGGGGAAACUUACCAGGUCCAGACAUAAGUAUGAUUGACAGAUUGAGAGCUCUUUCUUGAUUCUAUGGGGUGGGGUGUGGGCUGGCCGUUCUUAGUUUGUGGGAGUGGAUUUGUU
This 692-nucleotide ribosomal RNA is filed under the name uncultured prasinophyte. Its description in RNAcentral is "SSU rRNA". It matches the Rfam family "Eukaryotic small subunit ribosomal RNA", at positions 616 to 1315 of the family's 1831-position model. The record is from RNAcentral. Lineage: Eukaryota; Viridiplantae; Chlorophyta.